UCCGGUUUGUCACCGGCAGUCUCGUUAAAGUGCCCAACUAAAUGAUGGCAAUUAACGACAAGGGUUGCGCUCGUUGCGGGACUUAACCCAACAUCUCACGACACGAGCUGACGACAGCCAUGCAGCACCUGUGUUCCGGCUCUCUUUCGAGCACACCCAAAUCUCUAAGGGCUUCCGGACAUGUCAAGGGUAGGUAAGGUUUUUCGCGUUGCAUCGAAUUAAUCCACAUCAUCCACCGCUUGUGCGGGUCCCCGUCAAUUCCUUUGAGUUUUAGCCUUGCGGCCGUACUCCCCAGGCGGGGCGCUUAAUGCGUUAGCUGCGGCACGGAAUCCGUGGAAGGACCCCACACCUAGCGCCCAACGUUUACGGCGUGGACUAC
Molecule: unclassified non-coding RNA, 379 nt
Filed under: uncultured bacterium
Lineage: Bacteria
Description: contains 16S-23S intergenic spacer region
Source: RNAcentral